RNAcentral lists this ribosomal RNA (250 nucleotides) under uncultured prokaryote. Its description in RNAcentral is "partial 16S ribosomal RNA". It matches the Rfam family "Bacterial small subunit ribosomal RNA", at positions 524 to 774 of the family's 1533-position model. The record is from RNAcentral.
UACGUAGGUGGCGAGCGUUAUCCGGAUUUAUUGGGCGUAAAGGGUGCGCAGACGGUUUACUAAGUCUAAAAUCGAAUCUUGGGGCUUAACCUCAUUCCGUUUUAGAAACUGGUAGACUUGAGUAUGGUAGAGGCAGAUGGAAUUCCUAGUGUAGCGGUGGAAUGCGUAGAUAUUAGGAGGAACACCAGUGGCGAAGGCGAUCUGCUGGGCCAUUACUGACGUUCAGGCACGAAAGCGUGGGGAGCAAAUA